GAAAACAAGCCUGGCCAUGGUGGCAUUUCCUCGAAAAGUUGAAAACAAUUUUCCGUGGGGCAUUCCUAGUUUCAAUCAGAAUUUAGCUGCAUCCAUGCCCAAAGGUGGGUUGAUAAGGUACGGAAUAAGGAUAAGAAGGUUGACCUGGGAACAAAUCAUGAUGGGAAGUAAGGGCAUUUGAUGGGCAGUGGAAAUGCCGCCACAUGCUUUUGUUUAAUACCCACAGAUCCUACUCUGCCCAACAGAUUAUUUCUUCCUCAGGUCAUUGUUAUCAAUGUGUAGAGAGGAAACUUGU
Molecule: non-coding RNA, 295 nt
Organism: Theobroma cacao (cacao)
Lineage: Eukaryota; Viridiplantae; Streptophyta; Magnoliopsida; Malvales; Malvaceae
Source: RefSeq, a predicted model, not a curated record